Molecule: ribosomal RNA, 58 nt
Filed under: Beauveria bassiana
Lineage: Eukaryota; Fungi; Ascomycota; Sordariomycetes; Hypocreales; Cordycipitaceae
Description: partial 28S ribosomal RNA
Rfam family: Eukaryotic large subunit ribosomal RNA
Source: RNAcentral
UUGACCUCGAAUCAAGUAGGACUACCCGCUGAACUUAAGCAUAUCAAUAAGCGGAGGA